GGAUUACUGAAUGCGAUACUGGCUGGGGUUUACCUCUCAAGAUAUGAAUGGACUGCCAAAAAUUGUGACAGAAGCAAGUGAGAAGUCAAGACAACCGUGUGGACCCCUUUGGUGGAACUGCGCCCCGCACAAGAAAAACCGAAAAGAAUCCACUUUAUAAAAAUGGGAAGGAACUGGUCCCGUUGUUAGAAACACACCGUCAUGCUCUGGGUGUGAAGUGUUGUCUACGUGGAUGAAAUUGAAGUAGCACCUUCCAUCCUACUUUUGGGCUAGCUUGUACCCCUGCCACUGCUCCAAAAUAGGAAACAGCAGGUCAAAGUGCAGUGUGUCGCAGAAGUGUUUCCAAGUGUGAAGAGGCGCUGAGCCCCUGGGACACCCACGUCUCUUCCUGUUUCCCUUUCACGUGAAGUAAGUUGACUAACUUUGUUUAUGUUUUCUGUAACGCUCUCUGGAAAAUUU
RNAcentral lists this long non-coding RNA (459 nucleotides) under Struthio camelus australis. RNAcentral's name for it is "lncRNA (ENSSCUG00000002165.1)". The record is from RNAcentral. Lineage: Eukaryota; Metazoa; Chordata; Aves; Struthioniformes; Struthionidae.